CAAGGUCUCGUUGGUGACCAGCGGAGGGUCAUUACCGAGUUUACAACUCCCAAACCCAAUGUGAACGUUACCAAACUGUUGCCUCGGCGGGGUCACGCCCCGGGUGCGUCGCAGCCCCGGAACCAGGCGCCCGCCGGAGGAACCAACCAAACUCUUUCUGUAGUCCCCUCGCGGACGUAUUUCUUACAGCUCUGAGCAAAAAUUCAAAAUGAAUCAAAACUUUCAACAACGGAUCUCUUGGUUCUGGCAUCGAUGAAGAACGCAGCGAAAUGCGAUAAGUAAUGUGAAUUGCAGAAUUCAGUGAAUCAUCGAAUCUUUGAACGCACAUUGCGCCCGCCAGUAUUCUGGCGGGCAUGCCUGUCCGAGCGUCAUUUCAACCCUCGAACCCCUCCGGGGGAUCGGCGUUGGGGAUCGGGACCCCUCACACGGGUGCCGGCCCCGAAAUACAGUGGCGGUCUCGCCGCAGCCUCUCCUGCGCAGUAGUUUGCACAACUCGCACCGGGAGCGCGGCGCGUCCACGUCCGUAAAACACCCAACUUUCUGAAAUGUUGACCUCGGAUCAGGUAGGAAUACCCGCUGAACUUAAGCAUAUCAAUAAGCGGAGGA
Molecule: ribosomal RNA, 606 nt
Filed under: Trichoderma asperellum
Lineage: Eukaryota; Fungi; Ascomycota; Sordariomycetes; Hypocreales; Hypocreaceae
Description: eukaryotic LSU rRNA
Rfam family: 5.8S ribosomal RNA (bases 218-371)
Source: RNAcentral